RNAcentral lists this ribosomal RNA (509 nucleotides) under uncultured bacterium. Its description in RNAcentral is "bacterial SSU rRNA". It matches the Rfam family "Bacterial small subunit ribosomal RNA", at positions 28 to 522 of the family's 1533-position model. The record is from RNAcentral.
GACGAACGCUGGCGGCGUGCCUAACACAUGCAAGUGGAGCGACGAACCAGGGCUUGCCCUGGGGCAGAGCCGCGAACGGGUGAGUAACACGUGGGUAACCUACCCCGAUGAUUGGGACAACCCGAGGAAACUCGGGCUAAUACCGAAUGUGCCUAUCCCACAUCAGUGGUGAUAUGUAAAGGAAGCUUCGGCCUCCGCAUCGGGAGGGGCUCGCGGCCCAUUAGCUAGUUGGUGGGGUAAUGGCCCACCAAGGCUGCGAUGGGUAGCUGGUCUGAGAGGACGAUCAGCCACACUGGGACUGAGACACGGCCCAGACUCCUACGGGAGGCAGCAGUGGGGAAUCUUGCGCAAUGCGCGAAAGCGUGACGCAGCAACGCCGCGUGGGGGAAGAAGGCCUUCGGGUUGUAAACCCCUUUCAGGAGGGACGAAGGUUCGGCGGUGAAUAGCCGACCGGACUGACGGUACCUCCACAAGAAGCCCCGGCUAACUACGUGCCAGCCGCCGCAGUA